GAUGAACGCUGGCGGCGUGCCUAAUACAUGCAAGUCGAGCGAACAGAUAAGGAGCUUGCUCCUUUGACGUUAGCGGCGGACGGGUGAGUAACACGUGGAUAACCUACCUAUAAGACUGGGAUAACUUCGGGAAACCGGAGCUAAUACCGGAUAACAUAUUGAACCGCAUGGUUCAAUAGUGAAAGGCGGCUUUGCUGUCACUUAUAGAUGGAUCCGCGCCGUAUUAGCUAGUUGGUAAGGUAACGGCUUACCAAGGCAACGAUACGUAGCCGACCUGAGAGGGGGAUCGGCCACACUGGAACAGAGACACGGUCCAGACGCCUACGGGAGGCAGCAGUAGGGAAUCUUCCGCAAUGGGCGAAAGCCUGACGGAGCAACGCCGCGUGAGUGAUGAAGGUCUUCGGAUCGUAAAACUCUGUUAUCAGGGAAGAACAAAUGUGUAAGUAACUGUGCACAUCUUGACGGUACCUGAUCAGAAAGCCACGGCUAACUACGUGCCAGCCGCCGCCGUAAGAC
RNAcentral lists this ribosomal RNA (516 nucleotides) under uncultured bacterium. RNAcentral's name for it is "bacterial SSU rRNA". It matches the Rfam family "Bacterial small subunit ribosomal RNA", at positions 28 to 526 of the family's 1533-position model. The record is from RNAcentral.